AAUACGUUCCCGGGCCUUGUACACACCGCCCCGUCAAGCCAUGGAAGCUGGGGGUACCUGAAGUCGGUGACCGCAAGGAGCUGCCUAGGGUAAAACUAGUAACUGGGGCU
Molecule: ribosomal RNA, 110 nt
Filed under: uncultured bacterium
Lineage: Bacteria
Description: partial 16S ribosomal RNA
Rfam family: Bacterial small subunit ribosomal RNA
Source: RNAcentral